Molecule: ribosomal RNA, 277 nt
Filed under: Chlamydomonas pulvinata
Lineage: Eukaryota; Viridiplantae; Chlorophyta; Chlorophyceae; Chlamydomonadales; Chlamydomonadaceae
Description: partial small subunit ribosomal RNA
Rfam family: Eukaryotic small subunit ribosomal RNA
Source: RNAcentral
CUCGUAGUUGGAUUUCGGGUGGGUCUUUGCGGUCCGCCUCUGGUGAGUACUGCUAAGGCCCAUCUUUCUGUCGGGGACGGGCUCCUGGGCUUCACUGUCUGGGACUCGGAGUCGACGUUGUGACUUUGAGUAAAUUAGAGUGUUCAAAGCAAGCCUACGCUCUGAAUACAUUAGCAUGGAAUCACAUGAUAGGACUCUGGCCUAUCUUGUUGGUCUGUAGGACUGGAGUAAUGAUUAAGAGGGACAGUCGGGGGCAUUCGUAUUCCAUUGUCAGAGA